This is an RNA transcript of Lutra lutra (Eurasian river otter), 2262 nucleotides long. It is a transcript of the gene named ATPase H+ transporting V1 subunit C2, with no coding region annotated. The record is from RefSeq and is a predicted model, not a curated record. The transcript is spliced from 13 exons. Lineage: Eukaryota; Metazoa; Chordata; Mammalia; Carnivora; Mustelidae.
CUGCAACGCUGUGGGCUGGAGACCGCCACCCCCCCCAGCCCCACCCGAUGGUCCUCAGAAUCCCGCCGGGAACCACCUCCCCACCCCGCCGCGGGUGCACCCGGGGUUCGCGCCGCGGCCACAGCCCGGCCCCGUAUGCAAAUACCCGAGGGGCGGGCGCGGGCCGCCUCCCCGCUGCGGAUAAAAGCCCGGGGCGGGGCGCCGCGCAGAAGCCGCUGCCUCCCGGGAGCCGGCCGAGCGUUCCGUCCCCGCGCCUGUCUGCUGCACGCCCGCGGCCGCCGGCUCCCGUAACUGGAUAAAAGAAGGUGUGAAGCAUGUCGGAGUUUUGGUUAAUUUCUGCCCCUGGCGACCAGGAAAAUUUACAAGCUCUGGAGAGGAUGAACACCGUAACCGCCAAGUCCAACCUGUCUUAUAACACCAAAUUCUCAAUUCCUGACUUCAAGGUGGGGACCUUGGAUUCCCUUGUUGGCCUCUCCGAUGAGCUGGGGAAACUCGAUACCUUUGCUGAAAGCCUCAUAAAGAAGAUGGCCCAGAGUGUGGUAGAAGUCAUGGAAGAUGCCAAGGGGAAGGUUCCGGAGAACCUCCUAGCCAACGGAGGUUUGAAGGAAAAAAUGAAAUAUUUAAAGAUUGACUUAACAUCCUUUGUGACCCACUUUGAGUGGGACAUGGCGAAGUACCCCGCGAAGCAGCCGCUGGUGAGCGUGGUGGACACUCUGGCAAAGCAACUGGCCCAAAUCGAGACUGACCUGAAAUCCCGAACAGCCUCCUACAACACUCUGAAGACAAACCUGGACAACCUGGAGAAGAAAUCCAUGGGAAACCUCUUCACCCGGACACUAAGCGAUAUCGUGAGCAAAGAAGACUUCGUGUUGGGUUCUGAGUAUCUCGUCACACUUCUGGUCAUUGUCCCCAAACCAAGCUACGCACAAUGGCAAAAAACCUAUGAAUCUCUCUCGGACAUGGUGGUCCCUCGGUCGACUAAACUGAUUGCUGAGGACAACGAGGGCGGCCUCUUCACGGUGACCCUGUUUCGAAAAGUGAUCGAGGAUUUCAAAACCAAAGCCAAAGAGAACAAGUUCACUGUCCGUGAAUUUUACUAUGAUGAGAAAGAAAUUAAAAGGGAAAGGGAAGAGAUGAGCAGGUUGCUGUCUGAUAAGAAGCAACAGUAUCAAACUUCCUGUGUUGCUCUUAAAAAGGGAUCCUCCACCUUCCCGGACCACAAGGUUAAGGUAACCCCGCUAGGUAACCCCGCUAGGCCCACAGCGGGGCAGACGGACAGAGAGAGAGAGAGUGAGGGCGAGGGCGAGGUAAGCAGCACCCCUGCGGCCCUGGGCCCCCGCUCGCAUGUCCCGCUGGCGCAGGCAUCUUCGGAGGAAACGGCGCCUUGCGUUUUCUGUUCCCCAGUGUGGCUUGGGAGGGCUUCCAUCGAGGAGCCCAGAACGCUGCCUGCCUCCUCGUGUGGAGGGCGUCUUCGGAGCUGCCCCCCGCCCCCUGGCAUGGUGGCCAGGGGUCCUCUGCCCUGCCUGGAGGUGGCGGCCGCUGGUGACGGGGGCAGGCCCUGCUGGCUGGUGGGGGUCAGGCAGCUCGGCUCUCCUCCCCUGGCUGCGCUGGCUGGACCCACCCUUGACCUUUGUGGGCAGCGGAAGCAUCAGUGGGAGCUCGGAGCCUUGGCUCCAGGCGCUCGGGUUCCCCUAGAGGACCGGCCACGCCAGCCUCGGCGACCGGGGUUGUGGCCUCGGAGGUGGGCUCUGUGGAGUUCCCAGAAUCGGCAGCUGGUGGCUGAUGCCAGGACGGGGUUGUGGCAGGGGAUGUGAUGCGUUCCUCAGAGGUGGGCUCCCUGGUGGCCCAGUGUCGGGGGAAGCCCGUCCGCUGCUGCCCGGCCCCCCGCAGCCCGGUCUCUGGUGGCCCCACGCAUGUGCCAGGUGGCGGCCCGCUGAGCUUGCCGGGCACCCGGUGCCCCGGGAACGUGGGCCGGGGUCGGCCGACUCGCUGCUUCUGCUGGCCGCCGGGCGUCUCUCCGCGCGAGGCUUCGCUCUGCUGGGACCCGUGUUGCCCUUGGCCUGGCGUCUGGCGCCGCUGCCCGCGGGCGUCACCGGCUGUCCUGUCUCCGCAGGGCCCGCUGCUGCGCUGGCUCAAAGUGAACUUCAGCGAAGCCUUCAUUGCCUGGAUCCACAUCAAGGCGCUGAGGGUGUUUGUGGAGUCCGUGCUCAGGUACGGACUUCCGGUGAAUUUCCAGGCGGUGCUCCUCCAGCCUCACAAGAA